Molecule: long non-coding RNA, 312 nt
Organism: Heterocephalus glaber (naked mole-rat)
Lineage: Eukaryota; Metazoa; Chordata; Mammalia; Rodentia; Bathyergidae
Source: Ensembl
CAGACUAAUAAAGGUCUGUUUUACUUUCCAACUUGUCCGGUGUGUUCCUUCCCGGGCGAUCGUCGCUGCAGUCAGCUCCUUGGAGCGUUUGAACAUUCACACCUGCAGCCCUGAUCGACCAUGUAUAAUGUGUGAGUACCUCGAGCUGCCAUGCUGUGAGGAAGCCAAGAGAGAUGGGGAAGUCAUAUGCAGCUUUCAAGUCCUAAUCUUCAAGUCAUCACAAACCAGAAGCCAGACACUUGAGUGGAAGAGUCUUUAGAUGAUUCCAGCUUCCAAUAUCUGAAAUUCCAGUCAUCAUAGAGCAGGUACCAG